This 484-nucleotide ribosomal RNA is filed under the name uncultured bacterium. RNAcentral describes it as "partial 16S ribosomal RNA". It matches the Rfam family "Bacterial small subunit ribosomal RNA", at positions 28 to 523 of the family's 1533-position model. The record is from RNAcentral.
GAUGAACGCUGGCGGCGUGCCUAAUACAUGCAAGUCGAACGAUGAAGCCGGAGCUUGCUCUGGUGAAUUAGUGGCGAACGGGUGAGUAACACGUGAGUAACCUGCCCUUGACUCUGGGAUAACUGCUAGAAAUGGUAGCUAAUACCGGAUACGACCCUCGGAGGCAUCUCCAGGGGGUGGAAAGAAUUUCGGUCAAGGAUGGACUCGCGGCCUAUCAGCUAGUUGGUGAGGUAACGGCUCACCAAGGCGACGACGGGUAGCCGGCCUGAGAGGGUGACCGGCCACACUGGGACUGAGACACGGCCCAGACUCCUACGGGAGGAAGCAGUGGGGAAUAUUGCACAAUGGGCGCAAGCCUGAUGCAGCAACGCCGCGUGAGGGAUGACGGCCUUCGGGUUGUAAACCUCUUUUAGCAGGGAAGAAGCGAAAGUGACGGUACCUGCAGAAAAAGCACCGGCUAACUACGUGCCAGCAGCCGCGGUAA